AUGAGGCACCUAAUGUUGCUACUGAUGCCACUGUUGGUACAGCUGAAGGAAGUUGGAACUUGUGUACUGCUUAAUGAAAACACUGCGGAUCAUGAGCACAAUUCCGGAGAUUUAAUAUCAGAGCGAAGAAAGUUAAAGCAGGUCUAUGAGUCCAUAUGCUCGAAUAAGGAUAAGGAAGCUACUGAAGCAGUGCAGAAGUUUCAACAGAAGUUAGAGGAGCUGCACGUGGCAGCCUGUAAGAAGGAUGAUGAGAUUGGAAGAUUGCAGGCAGAAGCUCCUGCAUCCACAAAUAAGACACUGGUUCUUGAGGGCAAGCUAAAUGAGAUGCACUCCUUGGAUAAGGCGAAUGACAUCCAGAGCCUCAAAGUUGGGCAACCUGUGACUCAUAAACACAAGCUUGCCUUCUUAUCAACUAUACAAUCCAAGGAAGCUGGAAAUAGUGUAGAGAUUAUUCAAGAGAAUGCAGAUCAUGGGGCCAUCGCAGGAGAUUUAAGAGCAGAGCUAAGAAAACUGAAGCAAGCUUAUGAGACCCUUAGCUCAAACAAGGAUAAGGAAAUUUCUGCAGCACUUGCAGUGGAGGAUUUUCUUUUGAACAAACUGCUGAGAAUGGACAAGGACAGCGCAGGGCUCCUCAAGAUAAAGGAAGUGGAGGCAGCACAAGCUAACGAAGCAGCACAAAAGCUUCAACAGAUUGUAGAGGAGCUGCAAGUGGCAGUCCGAUAUAAGGCUGACGAGAUUGGCAGAUUGCGAGCAGAAGCGGGGCCCCUUAAGAUAAAGGAAGUGGAGGCAGCACAAGCUAACAAAGCUGUGCAAAUGCUUCAGCAGAAUGUAGAGGAGGUGCAAGUGGCAGUCAGAAAUAAAGAUGAUGAGAUUGGCAAAUUGGGAGCAGAAGUGGGGCACCUUAAGAUAAAACAAGUGGAGUCAGCACAAAAGCUUCAGCAAAAUGUAGAGGAACUGCAAGUGGCAGUCCGAAAUAAGGAUAUUGAGAUUGGCAGAUUGCAAGCAGAAGCGGGGAUCCUUAACAUAAAAGAAGUGGAGGCAGUAAAAAAGUUUCAGCAGAAUGUAGAUGUGCUGCAAGUAGAAGUAUGA
Molecule: ribosomal RNA, 1089 nt
Filed under: Triticum aestivum (bread wheat)
Lineage: Eukaryota; Viridiplantae; Streptophyta; Magnoliopsida; Poales; Poaceae
Description: partial small subunit ribosomal RNA
Source: RNAcentral